AUGUUCUUCUUCUGUGUGACAGAAUCUGCUUGUCUUGUCUCAGAAACGCUUCAUCUUAGACGUCGGCACGAUGCUGUCCGUCCAGGUAGUCCUGCUGGCGACCCUCGUCUAUUUGGUUUCAUCACUUCCUGUCAGGUAAACCAAACUCAACAUCAAAGUUCGGGUCUUCUGAUCAGUUUUGGAAUAAAAGGUUUUUUUUUUUUUAAUGUCCUCAGAGAUGAAGAUGAGGUGGGAAGUUUCCUGUCUCGCGUCAGACACAUGGACGCCCCAUUUUUGGACCCUCUUGAUGCUCUUCUGGAGGCCAGACUCAGGCAGCUGCUUUCUGCUGGUCCAGACCGCAGGAGGCAGCUGGGAGACCUGGAGUUCUCCAACAGAUAUGCAGAGUUCCUGCGCUCCAGGGCCAAACACAGCUCCCUCUGUGCCUUCCUGCAGCGCAUGCAAGGCUUCAAGAAGAGUGGGGCGGGGGGCAACACGGAGAGGGUGAACCUGCUGCUGAAACAGUACAUGUGUCCAUCUGACUGGCCGAGCGACCUGUGAGACGCUCUGCAGAGAUUAACGAAGACAACAAGAAGUUCCCAUCAUGUCAAAUGUUGAGAGGUUUUAUUAAAUUAUGUUUUAGGGGGACCUCCGGGUCUUUAGUUGUUCUCCCUUUUUACCUGUGGAGAAGCUCAUGCCACACACCUCCAGGUGGAUCAGUGAGAUAUUACACUUAAAACCAAGAUACAAAAAUAUUGUUUCGUAUUUAGAAUGUACAGACCUCACAUAUUGGGGAGCACAUUGUAUGGUGGUCAGAAGAAUUCACAAUGAUGUUGGUUGAUUUGGUGUUACUGUUACAUUUAAUCAGUUUUGAUCAUUUAAUAUCUGUACACCAGCAUAAUUACAUGACUUGAUAUCAGCUUUUCCAUUCUUUAGUCAGAGAUUUUACAAGAAUGUGCUAUUUCCUGUUUAGAAAAGAAUUACAGCCACUUCACUUUAUUCAGCAUAUCUCCAUAAAGUAUCUGGACAAAAUGACGUCAGCAUAUUAAAGACCUUUAUUGCAGCUGCUGCUUUCUGC
Takifugu rubripes (torafugu) is the source of this 1054-nucleotide long non-coding RNA. The record is from Ensembl. NCBI's taxonomy places the organism in Eukaryota, Metazoa, Chordata, Actinopteri, Tetraodontiformes, Tetraodontidae.